This 647-nucleotide ribosomal RNA is filed under the name Symbiodinium sp. type B. Its description in RNAcentral is "partial 24S large subunit ribosomal RNA". It matches the Rfam family "Eukaryotic large subunit ribosomal RNA", at positions 34 to 673 of the family's 3401-position model. Lineage: Eukaryota; Dinophyceae; Suessiales; Symbiodiniaceae. The record is from RNAcentral.
UUAAGCAUAUAAGUAAGCGGAGGAAAAAGGAACUAAAUAGGAUUCCCUCAGUAAUGGCGAAUGAACAGGGAUGAGCUCAGGCUGGAAACCGAUACAUCUGUGUCGGGCUGUAGCCUGCAGGCAUAGCGCUAUCGGCGGCUCGAGCGCAAGCCUCUUGGAAUAGAGCGUGUGCCCGGGUGAGAAUCCUGCAUUUCGCUCGAUGUCCGCUGUCCACAGUGCUUGUUCUGAGAGUCACGCUCCUCGGAAUUGGAGCGUAAAUCAGGUGGUAAGUUUCAUCCAAAGCUAAAUAGAAGCUCGAGACCAAUAGCAAACAAGUACCAUGAGGGAAAGAUGAAAAGGACUUUGGAAAGAGAGUUAAAAGUGUUUGAAAUUGCUGAGAGCGAAGCGAACGGAGCCACAUGUCGUGCUGAGAUUGCUGUGGGUCUUUGUGAGCCUUAAGCAUGUAAGCGCAAGCUGACUGCUUAUGCGUGAGCAUUUGUCCGCAGUGUUUCUCAGCAUGCGAGUCAUUAGCCACAUUUGUUUGAGGAUGGCCUUCAGCUCACAUGGUACACUUGUUAGUGUGCCUCUGUGCGGUGUGGGACUCAGACAGGUGUGGCUUGUUGACCCAGUGGUUUUUUUCGACCCGUCUUGAAACACGGACCAAGGAG